RNAcentral lists this ribosomal RNA (460 nucleotides) under uncultured bacterium. Its description in RNAcentral is "partial 16S ribosomal RNA". It matches the Rfam family "Bacterial small subunit ribosomal RNA", at positions 338 to 795 of the family's 1533-position model. The record is from RNAcentral.
CCUACGGGUGGCAGCAGUGAGGAAUAUUGGUCAAUGGACGAGAGUCUGAACCAGCCAAGUAGCGUGAAGGAUGACUGCCCUAUGGGUUGUAAACUUCUUUUAUAUGGGAAUAAAACGUUCCACGUGUGGGAUUUUGUAUGUACCAUAUGAAUAAGGAUCGGCUAACUCCGUGCCAGCAGCCGCGGUAAUACGGAGGAUCCGAGCGUUAUCCGGAUUUAUUGGGGUUAAAGGGAGCGUAGGUGGAUUGUUAAGUCAGUUGUGAAAGUUUGCGGCUCAACCGUAACAUUGCAGUUGAAACUGGCAGUCUUGAGUACAGUAGAGGUAGGCGGAAUUCGUGGUGUAGCGGUGAAAUGCUUAGAUAUCACGAAGAACUCCGAUUGCGAAGGCAGUUCACUGGACUGCAACUGACGCUGAGGCUCGAAGGUGUGGGUAUCAAACAGGAUUAGAUACCCUGGUAGUC